RNAcentral lists this unclassified non-coding RNA (240 nucleotides) under fungal sp. Its description in RNAcentral is "partial internal transcribed spacer region". The stretch from base 1 to 46 matches the Rfam family "Eukaryotic small subunit ribosomal RNA", at positions 1786 to 1831 of the family's 1831-position model. The record is from RNAcentral. Lineage: Eukaryota; Fungi.
AAGUCGUAACAAGGUUUCCGUAGGUGAACCUGCGGAAGGAUCAUUAUUGAAUUCCAACGUAAAGGGUUGUUGCUGGCAUAACCUGCAUGUGCACACCCGAUACACUCACACCUGUGCACCUAUCGACCGAAGCCCUUCACCCCGGAGGGUGGACGGUCCUUACUACACACACUGUUAAAUACAUGUUUGAUAUUAUAAAAACAUUAAUGACAACUUUCAACAACGGAUCUCUUGGCUCUC